Molecule: ribosomal RNA, 1439 nt
Filed under: uncultured bacterium
Lineage: Bacteria
Description: bacterial SSU rRNA
Rfam family: Bacterial small subunit ribosomal RNA
Source: RNAcentral
AGAGUUUGAUCAUGGCUCAGAACGUACGCUGGCGGCACGCUUAACACAUGCAAGUCGAACGAAGUAGCAAUACUUAGUGGCAGACGGGUGAGUAACAUGUAGGUAUCUUCCCUUUGGCCUGGAAUAACACGAGGAAACUUGUGCUAAUACCGGAUAAGUCUUUACAGAGAAAGCUUUAUGCACCAUUGGAUGAGCCUGCACUUGAUUAGUUUGUUGGUAGGGUAAUGGCCUACCAAGACUGUGAUCAAUAGCUGAUUUGAGAGGAUGAUCAGCCACAUUGGGACUGAGACACGGCCCAAACUCCUACGGGAGGCAGCAGUGGGGAAUCUUGCACAAUGGAGGAAACUCUGAUGCAGCGAUGCCGCGUGAGUGAAGAAGGCCUUUGGGUUGUAAAGCUCUUUCGUCGGGGAAGAAAAUGACUGUACCCGAAUAAGAAGGUCCGGCUAACUUCGUGCCAGCAGCCGCGGUAAUACGAAGGGACCUAGCGUAGUUCGGAAUUACUGGGCUUAAAGAGUUCGUAGGUGGUUGAAAAAGUUGGUGGUGAAAUCCCAGAGCUUAACUCUGGAACUGCCAUCAAAACUUUUCAGCUAGAGUUUGAUAGAGGAAAGCAGAAUUUCUAGUGUAGAGGUGAAAUUCGUAGAUAUUAGAAAGAAUACCAAUUGCGAAGGCAGCUUUCUGGAUCAAUACUGACACUGAGGAACGAAAGCAUGGGUAGCGAAGAGGAUUAGAUACCCUCGUAGUCCAUGCCGUAAACGAUGUGUGUUAGACGUUGGAAAUUUAUUUUCAGUGUCGCAGCGAAAGCGAUAAACACACCGCCUGGGGAGUACGACCGCAAGGUUAAAACUCAAAUGAAUUGACGGGGACCCGCACAAGUAGUGGAGCAUGUGGUUUAAUUCGAAGAUACGCGCAGAACCUUACCAACACUUGACAUGUUCGUCGCGACUUUAAGAGAUUAAAGUUUUCGGUUCGGCCGGACGAAACACAGGUGCUGCAUGGCUGUCGUCAGCUCGUGUCGUGAGAUGUUGGGUUAAGUCCCGCAACGAGCGCAACCCUCACUUUUAGUUGCCAUCAUUUAGUUGGGCACUCUGAAAGAACUGCCAGUGAUAAGCUGGAGGAAGGUGGGGAUGACGUCAAGUCCUCAUGGCCCUUACGUGUUGGGCUACACACGUGCUACAAUGGUAUCUACAACAGGAAGCAAAACGGCGACGUUAAGCAAAUCCUCAAAAGAUACCUCAGUUCGGAUUGCACUCUGCAACUCGAGUGCAUGAAGCUGGAAUUACUAGUAAUCGUGGAUCAGCGUGCCACGGUGAAUGCGUUCCCGGGUCUUGUACACACCGCCCGUCACACCAUGGGAGUUGGUUCUACCUUAAGGCAAGGUUUAAAACCCUUGACCACGGUAUAGUCAGCGACUGGGGUGAAGUCAUAACAAGGUAGCCGUA